CAAGGAAUCUUCCGCAAUGGGCGACAGCCUGACGGAGCAACGCCGCGUGCGGGAUGACGCCUUUCGGGGUGUAAACCGCUUUUCUUCAGGAAGAACGUGGGGCAACCCACUUGACGGUACUGGAGGAAGAAGGACCGGCUAACUACGUGCCAGCAGCCGCGGUAAUACGUAGGGUCCGAGCGUUGUCCGGAGUUACUGGGCGUAAAGCGCGCGCAGGCGGCGGUGUUGGCUCGGCGUGAAAGCCCCCGGCUCAACCGGGGAGGGUCGUCGAGGACCGCACCGCUCGAGGGCGGUAGGGGCUGGUGGAAUGCCUGGUGUAGUGGUGAAAUGCGUAGAGAUCAGGCGGAACACCCGUGGCGAAGGCGGCCAGCUGGGCCGUCCCUGACGCUGAGGCGCGAAGGCGUGGGGAGCGAACGGG
This 418-nucleotide ribosomal RNA is filed under the name uncultured bacterium. RNAcentral describes it as "bacterial SSU rRNA". It matches the Rfam family "Bacterial small subunit ribosomal RNA", at positions 355 to 776 of the family's 1533-position model. The record is from RNAcentral.